RNAcentral lists this ribosomal RNA (520 nucleotides) under uncultured Glomus. Its description in RNAcentral is "SSU rRNA". It matches the Rfam family "Eukaryotic small subunit ribosomal RNA", at positions 569 to 1091 of the family's 1831-position model. Lineage: Eukaryota; Fungi; Glomeromycota; Glomeromycetes; Glomerales; Glomeraceae. The record is from RNAcentral.
AGCAGCCGCGGUAAUUCCAGCUCCAAUAGCGUAUAUUAAAGUUGUUGCAGUUAAAAAGCUCGUAGUUGAAUUUCGGGGUCAGUAGUUUGGUCGUGCCAACGGUGUGUACUGGGCUCACUGAUUCCUCCUUCCUGAUGAACUGUAAUGCCAUUAAUUUGGUGUUGCAGGGAAACUGGACUGUUACUUUGAAAAAAUUAGAGUGUUUAAAGCAAGCUAACGCUUGAAUACAUUAGCAUGGAAUAAUGAAAUAGGACGUUCGAUCCUAUUUUGUUGGUUUCUAGGAUUGACGUAAUGAUUAAUAGGGAUAGUUGGGGGCAUUAGUAUUCAAUUGUCAGAGGUGAAAUUCUUGGAUUUAUUGAAGACUAAUUACUGCGAAAGCAUUUGCCAAGGAUGUUUUCAUUAAUCAAGAACGAAAGUUAGGGGAUCGAAGACGAUCAGAUACCGUCGUAGUCUUAACCAUAAACUAUGCCGACUAGGGAUCGGAUGAUGUUAAUUUUUAAUGACUCAUUCGGCGCCUUAA